RNAcentral lists this ribosomal RNA (348 nucleotides) under Neisseria arctica. Its description in RNAcentral is "bacterial SSU rRNA". It matches the Rfam family "Bacterial small subunit ribosomal RNA", at positions 23 to 367 of the family's 1533-position model. The record is from RNAcentral. Lineage: Bacteria; Pseudomonadati; Pseudomonadota; Betaproteobacteria; Neisseriales; Neisseriaceae.
CUCAGAUUGAACGCUGGCGGCAUGCUUUACACAUGCAAGUCGAACGGCAGCACGAAAGAGCUUGCUCUUUUGGUGGCGAGUGGCGAACGGGUGAGUAAUACAUUGGAACGUACCGAGUAAUGGGGGAUAACUGUCCGAAAGGAUGGCUAAUACCGCAUACGCUCUGAGGAGGAAAGCGGGGGACCUUCGGGCCUCGCGUUAUUCGAGCGGCCAAUGUCUGAUUAGCUAGUUGGUGGGGUAAAGGCCUACCAAGGCGACGAUCAGUAGUGGGUCUGAGAGGAUGAUCCGCCACACUGGGACUGAGACACGGCCCAGACUCCUACGGGAGGCAGCAGUGGGGAAUUUUGG